ACUUCCGUUCUAUUUCAAAAACAUUUCUCUCGAAUUCUACUGUAGAGUCAUAUUUUUAUCGUUAUAUAUUUUCGUUUCAACCAGCAAAGUGCUGCUUGUUUUCCAGCAAAUAUGACAGAACACGAAGGAUGUGGAUUUUCCUCGGGUUUAAAUGUGCACAUUGAAUUCUGCAAUUCCUGAGGCUAUGAGGACCGGGUGGAUGAGCUUCGCACAAAGAUUCAGCGUGAUGUUCCUGAAGCCUGCGUAACAAACAGCAUUAGUGAUAGAACUGCUGCCUUUGAAGUUACCAUCAAUGACAAGUUGGUCUUCUCUCGUCUUCAAUCUUUUUCAUUCCCUAGCUCUGAACAGAUUGUGAAUUUAUUACAUGAUGUCCAGUCAGGCAAGACGAUCCCUGUUAUUGAGGAAACUAGCACAGGCUGCACAAUUGUAUAAAACUAAUGUUUUCCAGAAAUUUCUACAAUUGUUACACCUUAAAUUCUUUGAGUUUUUUUUUCUUUCUUUUUUAAUCUUAAAUUAAUAUAUAUUAAAGAUCCUGACUAUUGUCUUCUUUUUUAAAUCCUCAUUGAACUAAUAUAUAGAUAUGGACUGGCUUAUAUUCCAGCAUCAUGGUAUAUCAUACAACCUGUCUUGUCACAGAUAUUUACCCAGUAUGUAAUUGCUAAUUUCACAUGCUACCCACUCAGUAUUUGUCCAAUCAGCAGCAACAACAACAGUUCAUCUGAUUGAAUGAGUUAACUUUGUUCAUUAUUGGAAGAUGUUGAGGUGUUUUCCACACAAUGUAUGUUAUAAGCGGCACCUACAAGUGCGAGUUAAUACUGAGUGGUCUGUUGUUAUGGUAGAUGGCCAUUCUUAAUUCAAUGUGACUACAGGUAUGUCUGCAGGAGGGUAGGUGUGUCUAUGUAAAUGGAAACACAGUGGAUCUUGAAAGCUUCCAUUUGUUGUAUCCACUAUGUUGCUCCUUGCUGCCUAGCAUCAAAAUAUGUCACUUCUUCAAUUAAGUGAUCUAAUUACUCUUUGCCUUCAUGAUGAGGUGCUAAUUAGCUUUACACAUGUAUUUUUUUUUUGCCUUCCAUAUUCUUUCUUCUUUUUCUUCUUCUCAUCUAUUCUUCUCUUUUCUCUCCCUCUUCACAUACUUAUCAUGAUUCUAUCUUUAAACUCCUUCUCUCUGCUCCAGCCGUCUUUUAUGUUAAGUACUCUUUUUCUAUAGUUACUCUUUUUUUCUUCUUAUUUCAAAGUAAAUAUGCAAAACGUUUUUAGUCAAGGGUGAAUUCUAACUUAUUCAAUAUCUUUCUUUUGAAAAUUUUGUGUGUAACAAUUGUGGAACUAAAAAUACUUUAUAUUGACUUUUAAAAAAAAGUUUUUUUUUGACUUUCUUACUGGUUAUUUCUCGUUAUGAAAAUUCUGGUCUAAACAUGUAUUGACCAGAGUUGGAUAAAUUGUGAGGAAUAACCAGUGAAAAAGUCGACUGAAAAUGAUUUAUUUGGUGAUUAAAAUUUAAAAUGAAUAUAUCAUGA
RNAcentral lists this unclassified non-coding RNA (1514 nucleotides) under Octopus sinensis (East Asian common octopus). RNAcentral describes it as "uncharacterized LOC115219916, transcript variant X2". Lineage: Eukaryota; Metazoa; Mollusca; Cephalopoda; Octopoda; Octopodidae. The record is from RNAcentral.